This 94-nucleotide transfer RNA is filed under the name Colletotrichum navitas. RNAcentral's name for it is "tRNA-Pro". Lineage: Eukaryota; Fungi; Ascomycota; Sordariomycetes; Glomerellales; Glomerellaceae. The record is from RNAcentral.
GCCCUGAUGGUCUAGCGGUAUGAUUCUCCCUUAGGGUUGUCUUCACGGCGAUUCAUUCUGGGAGAGGUCCCAGGUUCGAUCCCUGGUUAGGGCC